GCUGUUUACCUGCCCGAUGUUAUUUGUGUGUUUGGCCAGUUGUUGGAUUUCACCGAUUGAUACCAGAUCACAAGAUUAUCCUUCCCAAAUUGACUUGGCUGCAGAUAGAGGAGUACUUCUUGUACAGAUUGGCAGAUUACUGAAGAAGGUGCUCGGGAGUUGGAGACCCAAACCAAAUUCCAAGUGAAAAGUAAA
RNAcentral lists this long non-coding RNA (195 nucleotides) under Mizuhopecten yessoensis (Yesso scallop). Its description in RNAcentral is "uncharacterized LOC110451478". Lineage: Eukaryota; Metazoa; Mollusca; Bivalvia; Pectinida; Pectinidae. The record is from RNAcentral.